This 466-nucleotide ribosomal RNA is filed under the name uncultured bacterium. RNAcentral describes it as "partial 16S ribosomal RNA". It matches the Rfam family "Bacterial small subunit ribosomal RNA", at positions 28 to 507 of the family's 1533-position model. The record is from RNAcentral.
GAUGAACGCUGGCGGCGUGCUUAACACAUGCCAGUCGAACGGAAAGGCCACAGCUUGCUGUGGUACUCGAGUGGCGAACGGGUGAGUAACACGUGGGUGAUCUGCCCUGUACUUCGGGAUAAGCUUGGGAAACUGGGUCUAAUACCGGAUAGGAAUCACAUGUGGGUGUGUGGUUGGAAAGCUUUUGCGGUAUGGGAUGAGCUCGCGGCCUAUCAGCUUGUUGGUGGGGUAAUGGCCUACCAAGGCGUCGACGGGUAGCCGGCCUGAGAGGGUGUACGGCCACAUUGGGACUGAGAUACGGCCCAGACUCCUACGGGAGGCAGCAGUGGGGAAUAUUGCACAAUGGGCGCAAGCCUGAUGCAGCGACGCCGCGUGGGGGAUGACGGCCUUCGGGUUGUAAACUCCUUUCGUCAGGGACGAAGCGAAAGUGACGGUACCUGGAGAAGAAGCACCGGCUAACUACGUG